RNAcentral lists this ribosomal RNA (308 nucleotides) under Cyclaspis longicaudata. Its description in RNAcentral is "partial large subunit ribosomal RNA". It matches the Rfam family "Eukaryotic large subunit ribosomal RNA", at positions 656 to 911 of the family's 3401-position model. Lineage: Eukaryota; Metazoa; Arthropoda; Malacostraca; Cumacea; Bodotriidae. The record is from RNAcentral.
GAAACACGGAUCAAGGAGUCUAACAGGUGCGCGAGUCCGCGGGUCGUCUAAACCCUUACGGGCGGAGCAAAAGCAAAGUGAAACGCCGCACGCUCGUCGUGCGGCGAGAGAGCCGAUCCGGUUCGAACCGGCGCAGGCUCGGGGUCCGUCGUCGACGGGUGGCGCUCGUCGCCUCCCCGUCUGGCGGGCACCCGGAGCGUGCACGUUAGUACCCGAAAGAUGGUGAUCUAUGCUUGGCAAGAGCGAAGCCAGAGGAAACUCUGGUGGAGGUUCGUAGCGAUUCUGACGUGCAAAUCGAUCGUCAGAGC